GUAGUUGGUCAUAAAGUGUGUGGUACGGGCUCUGUCCUACAGUCUUAAAGGGGCAGGGGUCAUUGGUGUAGGCAGAAGUAUCUGGCUGCAGUAGGGGGUCAGGCUCUGAUCAAGGCAGGGGUCUGACAGCUGUGCUCUGAGUGUCUGUGAGGAAAGUGCAUCCCUGUUCUGUAGAGCACAUGGGUGGGUUCUGUAGAAGGGCAGUGGGCACCCAAUGCUUUUGGUUGUAAGUUCUGGGCGGUACUACUUAUCCUUGGAGCCCUAUCACAGGUGGCUAGGUAUUGUGGGUGGAGCCAGCAGUCCUUAUGCCCCUGAUGUGGGUAGGUGAAGACCCUGUUUAAUAGGCAAAGCAGUGUCAAACAUCAAAUACCCAUCUUUCCACCGUUCAGGUGAAACAGUUGCAGUCUGGCAACAAGGGCCUAUUCUCCUGAAAUGGGCCCACACAGGUCCAUGCUGGGGUGAAAGGUAUUCAAAGCCCAUGGACUGUUUGUGCCUGAACAAGAGCUGCUUCUGUCCUGAGCUCCCCAGCUUAAUUGAGCUGGCAGAUUAUCUUUCCCCCAGUUGUGAACUUAUACCUUCUUCAAGGAUGGAAAAAUGGCUCAGAGUGGUACCAGGGCCUAUCUCAGGCCCAGGGAAGUUGACAGCCACUGAAGCCGGCUUGGGGGCUGGGGGCGUGGUAAAAUAAACACAAGUAAUUAGCUUUUGCUGAGAGUGCCGUUCUUCUCUUGUUCUGGAGGUGUGAGUAGUCUGUGCAACUUGCUGUCCUUCCCUGAGCUAAACGCCUGUGGAACGCCACUGCCAGCCCCACUGCAGUCGCUCCAGGGAACGGUGCCUGAGGGUUCCUGGCUAUUCAGGUCCAGUAACUCCUCUCCACUUCUGAAUAGUCUCUCCCUCCCCCUGCCGCUGAGUCCAUUUUCUAACUUUACCUUUGAUGUUCAGGGCUCCUAGCUUCUCAUAAAUAUAAUCGCUUCACUUGUUUUUUCUGGUCUUUUUUGUAAGAGGGAUCACUGGUGGCGUCUCAAUACUCAAAACUUCAUCAUUUCUUCCUUUCACUUUAGCUACUCGACAUUCAAGAGCAACGUUCAGAGUCUCUUCCGACAUCCGUUUUGGUCUUUUCUUUCUUUCCUGUCUUUUAAAGGAUCUCUUGCUUUCUUCAUGUGUGAUGUCCUUGAUGUCAUUCCACAACUCGUCUGGUCUUCAGUCGUUAGUGUUCAACACGUAAAAUGUGUUCUUGAGGUGGUCUCUAAAUACAGGUGAGAUAUACUCAAGGUCAUAUUUUGGCCCCUUUUGACUUAUUCUAAUUUUCUUCAGUUUCAACUUGAACUCCCAUAUGAGCAAUUGACAGUCUGUUUCACAAUUGAUCCCUGGCCUUGUUCUGACUGAUGAUAUGAGUUUUCCCAUCUUCUCUUUCCACAGAUGUAGUCAGUUUGAUUCCUGUGUAUUCCAUCUGGUAAAGUCCACGUGUAUAGCUGCCGUUUAUGUUGGUGAAAAAAAAUAUUUGCAGUGGAUGAGUCACUGGUCUUGCAGAAUUCUUUCAUGAGAUUUCUGGUGUCAUUUAUUUCAUCGAUGCUGUAUUUUCCAACUACUUUUCCUUCUUUGUUUCCAACUUUAACAUUCUAAUGACCAGUAAUUAUCAAUGCAUCUUGAUUGCAUGUUUGAUCAAUUUCAGGCUGCAGAAGUUGUUUAAAAUCUUCAAUUUCUUUAUCUUUGGCAUUAGUGGUUGGUGCAUAAAUUUGAAUAGUCGUAUAAACUAGUCUUCCUUGUAAGUGUAUGGAUUUUAGCCUAUUAGUGACAACAUUGUACUUCAGGCUAGAUCUUGAAAUGUUCUCUUUGAUGAUAUGUAACGUCAUUCUUUUGACUCUAGUGGAAUAUCCAUGUUUGUAAGACUGCUCACAGACUGUUUCACCAGAGAGUUUUCUGGUACUGCAACAUCUACCACUAAUCUCUGUGAUCCCUGUGAAUUGGCAAAAUAAGAAUAGUGCUAUAGAUUUCUUCCAAAUACAGAAAACAUAAGUAUGAAAAUGUUCUUGCUGUUGAUUAUAUUCUUUACCAAUCUGUUUGUGUGGGAUUUUUGGUACUUCACUUGAAAAAUGAGUCCAAGGUACUGUGAUGUGAUUGUUUACUUUGUGUGGCCUUUCUAGCCAUGGUCUUAUAACAUCCACCCUGGUGCUUGGGCAGGACUGUGUGAUAGGGUAAUUGUGGCUCACCAAGGGGAUUGUUUAUUUUCCCUUCAAAGAGAACCAGUUCCAGAGCAAAGAGGAGGAUUCAACUCCCAUCAAGGAAGAACAGCCAAGAGCCGAGCGUAUAUUAUGGACCUGAGAUCCCUGCACUGAGAAGCUCCUAGAAGCAAGAGACUGAGAUAGAGAGAGGAAGCUGUAACCCUGAAGAUGCUUAAAUACAGACCAGAAGAGGAGUUUGGGGCUUGACACCUGACAUCUUAACACCAGUUCCUGUUUCUUGAGGAAGGAAGAGGUAAAAUAAAUCAGCGUUUACUGUUUCCUUCUCCAUCCCCGGAAGUCCUGAUGAAGACCCUCUCAGAGAACCAGUUCCAGAGCAAAGAGGAGGAUUCAACUCCCAUCAAGGAAGAACAGCCAAGAGCCGAGCGUAUAUUAUGGACCUGAGAUCCCUGCACUGAGAAGCUCCUAGAAGCAGGAGACUGAGAUAGAGAGAGGAAGCUGUAACCCUGAAGAUGCUUAAAUACAGACCAGAAGAGGAGUUUGGGGCUUGACACCUGACAUCUUAACACCAGUUCCUGUUUCUUGAGGAAGGAAGAGGUAAAAUAAAUCAGCGUUUACUGUUUCCUUCUCCAUCCCCAGAAG
Long non-coding RNA from Loxodonta africana (African savanna elephant), 2819 nucleotides. RefSeq lists it as uncharacterized. NCBI's taxonomy places the organism in Eukaryota, Metazoa, Chordata, Mammalia, Proboscidea, Elephantidae. The record is from RefSeq and is a predicted model, not a curated record. The transcript has 4 exons.